Molecule: ribosomal RNA, 706 nt
Filed under: Lactococcus sp. HXF0041
Lineage: Bacteria; Bacillati; Bacillota; Bacilli; Lactobacillales; Streptococcaceae
Description: bacterial SSU rRNA
Rfam family: Bacterial small subunit ribosomal RNA
Source: RNAcentral
GCGCUGAAGGUUGGUACUUGUACCGACUGGAUGAGCAGCGAACGGGUGAGUAACGCGUGGGGAAUCUGCCUUUGAGCGGGGGACAACAUUUGGAAACGAAUGCUAAUACCGCAUAAAAACUUUAAACACAAGUUUUAAGUUUGAAAGAUGCAAUUGCAUCACUCAAAGAUGAUCCCGCGUUGUAUUAGCUAGUUGGUGAGGUAAAGGCUCACCAAGGCGAUGAUACAUAGCCGACCUGAGAGGGUGAUCGGCCACAUUGGGACUGAGACACGGCCCAAACUCCUACGGGAGGCAGCAGUAGGGAAUCUUCGGCAAUGGACGAAAGUCUGACCGAGCAACGCCGCGUGAGUGAAGAAGGUUUUCGGAUCGUAAAACUCUGUUGGUAGAGAAGAACGUUGGUGAGAGUGGAAAGCUCAUCAAGUGACGGUAACUACCCAGAAAGGGACGGCUAACUACGUGCCAGCAGCCGCGGUAAUACGUAGGUCCCGAGCGUUGUCCGGAUUUAUUGGGCGUAAAGCGAGCGCAGGUGGUUUAUUAAGUCUGGUGUAAAAGGCAGUGGCUCAACCAUUGUAUGCAUUGGAAACUGGUAGACUUGAGUGCAGGAGAGGAGAGUGGAAUUCCAUGUGUAGCGGUGAAAUGCGUAGAUAUAUGGAGGAACACCGGUGGCGAAAGCGGCUCUCUGGCCUGUAACUGACACUGAGGCUCG